Molecule: ribosomal RNA, 345 nt
Filed under: Escherichia coli
Lineage: Bacteria; Pseudomonadati; Pseudomonadota; Gammaproteobacteria; Enterobacterales; Enterobacteriaceae
Description: partial 23S ribosomal RNA
Rfam family: Bacterial large subunit ribosomal RNA
Source: RNAcentral
AUUUAAAGUGGUACGCGAGCUGGGUUUAGAACGUCGUGAGACAGUUCGGUCCCUAUCUGCCGUGGGCGCUGGAGAACUGAGGGGGGCUGCUCCUAGUACGAGAGGACCGGAGUGGACGCAUCACUGGUGUUCGGGUUGUCAUGCCAAUGGCACUGCCCGGUAGCUAAAUGCGGAAGAGAUAAGUGCUGAAAGCAUCUAAGCACGAAACUUGCCCCGAGAUGAGUUCUCCCUGACCCUUUAAGGGUCCUGAAGGAACGUUGAAGACGACGACGUUGAUAGGCCGGGUGUGUAAGCGCAGCGAUGCGUUGAGCUAACCGGUACUAAUGAACCGUGAGGCUUAACCUU